AGUCGAGCGAUGGAUUAAGAGCUUGCUCUUAUGAAGUUAGCGGCGGACGGGUGAGUAACACGUGGGUAACCUGCCCAUAAGACUGGGAUAACUCCGGGAAACCGGGGCUAAUACCGGAUAACAUUUUGAACCGCAUGGUUCGAAAUUGAAAGGCGGCUUCGGCUGUCACUUAUGGAUGGACCCGCGUCGCAUUAGCUAGUUGGUGAGGUAACGGCUCACCAAGGCAACGAUGCGUAGCCGACCUGAGAGGGUGAUCGGCCACACUGGGACUGAGACACGGCCCAGACUCCUACGGGAGGCAGCAGUAGGGAAUCUUCCGCAAUGGACGAAAGUCUGACGGAGCAACGCCGCGUGAGUGAUGAAGGCUUUCGGGUCGUAAAACUCUGUUGUUAGGGAAGAACAAGUGCUAGUUGAAUAAGCUGGCACCUUGACGGUACCUAACCAGAAAGCCACGGCUAACUACGUGCCAGCAGCCGCGGUAAUACGUAGGUGGCAAGCGUUAUCCGGAAUUAUUGGGCGUAAAGCGCGCGCAGGUGGUUUCUUAAGUCUGAUGUGAAAGCCCACGGCUCAACCGUGGAGGGUCAUUGGAAACUGGGAGACUUGAGUGCAGAAGAGGAAAGUGGAAUUCCAUGUGUAGCGGUGAAAUGCGUAGAGAUAUGGAGGAACACCAGUGGCGAAGGCGACUUUCUGGUCUGUAACU
Molecule: ribosomal RNA, 700 nt
Filed under: Bacillus sp. KLBMP 2454
Lineage: Bacteria; Bacillati; Bacillota; Bacilli; Caryophanales; Bacillaceae
Description: bacterial SSU rRNA
Rfam family: Bacterial small subunit ribosomal RNA
Source: RNAcentral